RNAcentral lists this ribosomal RNA (339 nucleotides) under uncultured bacterium. Its description in RNAcentral is "partial 16S ribosomal RNA". It matches the Rfam family "Bacterial small subunit ribosomal RNA", at positions 130 to 469 of the family's 1533-position model. The record is from RNAcentral.
CCUGUAGUGGGGGAUAACUCGACGAAAGCCGGAUUAAAACCGCAUACGAUCUGAGGAGGAAAGCGGGGGACCCGCAGGGCUCUCGCGCUUGGGGGGGGGGAUAUGUCAUUUUAUCUUUGUGGUGAGGUAGGGGCUCACCGCGGACAAUCUGCAUCUGUGGUCUGAGAAGAUGAUCCCCCACUGUGGGUGAGACACGCGCCCCACUCUUCUACGAGAGGCAGCAGGGGAGAUUUUUGCACUGUGGGGGCAACCGUGAUCCCAAUGUGCCGCGUGAGUGAAUAAGCUCUUCGGAUUGUAAUGCUUUUUUGGACAGAAAGAAAGGGUUAGUUCGAAUAUCGC